UGCGGGGGGUGGGAGUAGGCUGC
This 23-nucleotide microRNA is filed under the name Canis lupus familiaris (dog). RNAcentral describes it as "Cfa-Novel-9_5p (mature (co-guide))". Lineage: Eukaryota; Metazoa; Chordata; Mammalia; Carnivora; Canidae. The record is from RNAcentral.